GGGGCAUUGGCCCGCUUGAAUUUGCAUAGCGGUCUUGAAAACCGGCGGACGUUAAUAGCGUCUCCAGGGUUCGAAUCCCUGGUUUCCCGCCA
Molecule: transfer RNA, 92 nt
Filed under: Pseudomonas sp. AP42
Lineage: Bacteria; Pseudomonadati; Pseudomonadota; Gammaproteobacteria; Pseudomonadales; Pseudomonadaceae
Also listed under: 1 other name
Description: tRNA-Ser
Source: RNAcentral